UGCGGGAUAGAGCAGAGGCAGCUCGUCGGGCUCAUAACCCGGAGGUCGUUGGUUCGAAUCCAGCUCCCGCUA
Molecule: transfer RNA, 72 nt
Filed under: Bacteroidales bacterium
Lineage: Bacteria; Pseudomonadati; Bacteroidota; Bacteroidia; Bacteroidales
Description: tRNA-Met
Rfam family: tRNA
About the family: Transfer RNA (tRNA) molecules are approximately 80 nucleotides in length. Their secondary structure includes four short double-helical elements and three loops (D, anti-codon, and T loops). Further hydrogen bonds mediate the characteristic L-shaped molecular structure. tRNAs have two regions of fundamental functional importance: the anti-codon, which is responsible for specific mRNA codon recognition, and the 3' end, to which the tRNAs corresponding amino acid is attached (by aminoacyl-tRNA synthetases). tRNAs cope with the degeneracy of the genetic code in two manners: having more than one tRNA (with a specific anti-codon) for a particular amino acid; and 'wobble' base-pairing, i.e. permitting non-standard base-pairing at the 3rd anti-codon position.
Source: RNAcentral